Molecule: long non-coding RNA, 375 nt
Filed under: Hordeum vulgare
Lineage: Eukaryota; Viridiplantae; Streptophyta; Magnoliopsida; Poales; Poaceae
Description: long non-coding RNA (HVUL_LNC006433)
Source: RNAcentral
UAUCCGAGAACAUGAUUGUAAUUUUAUUAUUUUUUGAGAUGUAUUAUUAUACCCUCAAAUGAUAAAGUGUUAGACGUGUCGCACGAAGCAAUCCGGCCUUAAUUUUUUUACAGCUAAAUUGUCAUCUAAAAAAAUGACAUUUGAACAUAAAGUUGCUAUGCUUGAUAACUAAAGCUGCGAUCCUCAUGCCACUAAACUCAUCAAGGGACACCACACGCGCACGCUCAAGACUAUCACCUUCGUUUUUCGUCCAUCCAUCUUCAAAACAGAUACUAAUAACGAAAAAAAAUAACUAAAGACUCGGUGCGCUUUUUCGCGUCAAACAACGUGCGGUUUACCAAGAGAUGGUGAUGCCAUCCACUGCAAAAACCAGGG